Molecule: ribosomal RNA, 972 nt
Filed under: uncultured fungus
Lineage: Eukaryota; Fungi
Description: eukaryotic LSU rRNA
Rfam family: Eukaryotic large subunit ribosomal RNA (bases 453-972)
Source: RNAcentral
UGCUUGCACGGCGGCGGCCUUAAAACGCGCCAAAUGGCACCCUUUGUUUACGAGUACCGUUCGUUUCCUCGGUGGGCUUGCCUGCCAUGAGGACCAACAAAAACCUUUGUAGUAGCAGUAUCUUCAGUAAAAACAAAUAUUAAAACUUUCAACAACGGAUCUCUUGGUUCUGGCAUCGAUGAAGAACGCAGCGAAAUGCGAUAAGUAGUGUGAAUUGCGGAAUUCAGUGAAUCAUCGAAUCUUUGAACGCACAUUGCGCCCUUCGGUAUUCCGUUGGGCAUGCCUGUUCGAGCGUCAUUUAAUCAUUCAAGCUCUGCUUGGUGUUGGGUGUUUGUUCCGCCUCAGCGCGUGGACUCGCCUUAAAUUCAUUGGCAGCCGGUAUGUUGGCUUCGUGCGCAGCACAUUGCGUCGCGAUUCUGGCAGGCCUCCUCCCAUUAAGCUUCUUUUAAGUUUGACCUCGGAUCAGGUAGGGAUACCCGCUGAACUUAAGCAUAUCAAUAAGCGGAGGAAAAGAAACCAACAGGGAUUGCCCCAGUAACGGCGAGUGAAGCGGCAAUAGCUCAAAUUUGAAAUCUGGCUCUUUCAGGGUCCGAGUUGUAAUUUGCAGAGGGCGCUUUGGCGUCGGCAGCAGCCUAAGUUCCUUGGAACAGGUCAUCAUAGAGGGUGAGAAUCCCGUAUGUGGCUGCUUGUCUUCGCCGUGUAAAGCCCCUUCGAUGAGUCGAGUUGUUUGGGAAUGCAGCUCUAAAUGGGAGGUAAAUUUCUUCUAAUGCUAAAUAUUGGCCAGAGACCGAUAGCGCACAAGUAGAGUGAUUGAAAGAUGAAAAGCACUUUGGAAAGAGAGUCAAAAAGCACGUGAAAUUGUUGAAAGGGAAGCGCUUGCAGCCAGACGUGCCCGUAGUUGCUCAUCGGGGGUUCUCCCCCGUGUACUCUUCUAUGGGCAGGCCAGCAUCAGUCCGGGCGGUUGGAGAAAGA